Molecule: long non-coding RNA, 1161 nt
Organism: Oncorhynchus tshawytscha (Chinook salmon)
Lineage: Eukaryota; Metazoa; Chordata; Actinopteri; Salmoniformes; Salmonidae
Source: Ensembl
CACACACACACACACACACACACCUGCCUGGCUGGGGUUGAUCACCUGGACAACGGGCGGGACAAUCAACCAAUGAGGUGAAGCAACAGGAUGCACGGAGAGGGAGGGCCAAUGACAGUAAAUUAACUCAAAUUCUCUUAGCCAAUGGCAUCAUGAACAGCUCUAUCGCUAUAGAAACACAUGAUAACACGUAAUAUUCAGUUUUGGAUUAUUUUACAGACAUUGUUGAUAUAAAACACUCAUCAGAGCAGGUACAGUCAGUCGUACAUGUAAUGUCUAUAGCACAGGCUGUAAAACAGGGCUGGGCCUGUGGCAGGGGAACAUAUCCUGCCUUUUACAGCAGGGUCACUCACUAAACCGCACCCCGACACAAACACACCACCCGGCCUCUCAGAGACACUGUAGCCCAGUCACACCUCAGUUGGUCAGUAUCUGCUGUGUGUUGGGAGGUGAGGGAAGGUUGAUUGGGUACAAAUUCAGUUGUUACGUGUCCUGUAUCUGUCCCAUCUUGUUAUUGAUGAUUGAUAAAUGAUCUUGCAAUAACAAUAUAUGCCAUUUCUCAGAUGCUUCUACCCAAAGCAACACACUUUUUAACUUAUGGGUGACCCCAGCGGGAAUUGAACCCACAAUCCUGGUGUUGCAAGUGCCAUGCUCUACCAAUGGGGCUACAGAGGACCACCAUGUACUGAUCCAGUUGUUAUGUGUUGUCUGUCUGUCAUUAUUAAGCCCAGUAAUAAUGGUCUGAUGGGCGUAAAGGAAGUAUAUUACGUUGAAGUGAAUAAACCAGGUGGUAGUUUAUUGUAAACCCAGUUGGUAGGUCAGGUGGUAGUUUAUUAUAAACCCAGUUGGUAGGUCAGGUGGUAGUUUAUUAUAAACCCAGUUGGUAGGUCAGGUGGUAGUUUAUUAUAAACCCAGUUGGUAGGUCAGGUGGUAGGUCAGGUGGUAGAUUAUUAUAAACCCAGUUGGUAGGUCAGGUGGUAGUUUAUUAUAAACCUAGUUGGUAGGUCAGGUGGUAGGUCAGGUGGUAGAUUAUUAUAAACCCAGUUGGUAGGUCAGGUGGUAGUUUAUUAUAAACCCAGCUGGUAGGUCAGGUGGUAGAUUAUUAUAAACCCAGUUGGUAGGUCAGGUGGUAGGUCAGGUGGUAGAUUAUUAUAAACCCAG